CUGGGGCGUCAGGGAGCCAGAGAAAGCACUGCACUGGAGAAGGGAUGCUGACUGCUGUUCUGCAUGAAGUCAGUAUUAUUCAUACAUCCCUGGGAUGGCAACAGCUCCCGGUUUCUUGGGGCCAGGACGGAAUCUGAAUAAGUAGUAAAGAGAUUAAAGGCUUGGGGAUCUGAGUGAGCCCUUACAGCUGGGAGUUACCACAGCAAAAUACAUAAAUAAAUAAAAAUGCAAAGGUGGCGUCAAGGUGGAACCUUUUCAAAAUUUGGGUCAAAUUUAACAAAUAGUUUUGAAAUAGUUUUGUCUUAAAAACAUGUAGAGGACCAGUUUGAAAACAUAUAAAUAAAUAAAUAAAUAAAUAUCAGCAUAUUUAGGCUACCCCAGGCUUUAGGGAGCUCCCAGUUCAGAGAAAGCAUGAAAUGUAAGUACUUUAUAUGAUGUUUACUGUGACCAUCAUACUCAUUAUGCCUAUGAAAUGCUUUUUUUUUUUUUUUUUCCUUCAGAUGCUGAAAUCUGUUGACAAUCAGGACUCUUCUGAGUCCCCCAGGAUUGUUUUGGUGUUAUGCUGUGGGAUCUUUCCUUGUAAUUACCACGGAAAGGCAAAUUGCAGCAGGCAUUUUAAAAUAACGUGUUUAAAUACUGACCUUUUUCAAAGGCUUUGAUGAAAGAUGUGAAAAAUUGGAAUUCAUUAUAAUAUUUCUAAUUUCCUGACGUGAAAAUAGGAAAGACUUUCUCAAUGUGCGUCUUCUCAAAUAGUCACCAUCAAGUGUCCUAGUUUAACAAAGAUCCCUUGACUCUAUGCAUGCCAAUGAACUUAACUAUUGAAUAUAUAAAUCGGUGCUAAUGCAUGCUCUACAAAAGGAAAGGAUUUCUUUCUGUGUAUACAUUGCUGUCAUACAAUUCAUUACUGUGGUGUAAAUGACUGAAUGAGUUUGAUCUAAAGGUGCAUAAAUACAUUUAAAUGGAUUUAAAAUUAGGACUAUUAAAUUAACUACGUGAUUCCCCCAAGAGCGUUUUGGGGGAAAAUUAAAUUCAGAACAUAUAAAAUGUAGAAGAUUCAUAUAUAUAUAUAUGCAUAUAUAUAUAUAUAUGCUUUCAACAUUGCCAUCGUUUGUUUUUUAUCUAGUCAAAAGAAAACACAAAAAUAAUUCCUACAGCAAUUUCGAGGGCCGUAGGGAAGGUAAGCAAAGCAUCUGGAUGCUGUUUACUCCUGACAGGCAGAGGCAGAAUGCUGGUUUGGUGCCAGUUCCUUCGGUUUUCUGUGGGCGGGGUUGUUGGGGGGUUUAUCACAGACUUGAAAGACCCUAACCUAAACCAUUCUUCAAGGCUUUGUUUAAAUGUACAAUGAGACAGUCCCCGCUCUAAAGAAUUUACCGUCUAAGCAGAAAAAACAAAGGCUUUGGAGGAGAGAUGUAUUAUCUCCCUCUUGCAGAUGGAGAACUGAGAGGCAUAACAGAUUAAGUGAAUUGCCUCUGAUCGUUUAAGACAAUCUGUGAGAGCCGUGCAGUGAACUUGGAUAACGUAAGCCACAAAAUCGUCCUUCCCCGUGUGGGCCAUGGGGCGAAGGGAGCCAUCUCCCCUGGGACGUGAGUUCUUCUUCUUCUUUGUGUUCAAGGCUCGAUAGUCACGCACGGCUUCCCUUGGCACCCUUCGCGUGCUCCUGGCAUCUCUCGGGCCAAAGCCCUCCCUGUGGAGGAACGCAGGGCUGUGACAACUCGCAUUUGUUUUCCCAGCAUGUCAAGAUUUCGUUUUGCCAGGCAGGUGAAAGUGCUGACAGCAAACCGGGUAAUAAAUAUUAAUAGCGGGUAAAAGGAUGGAUCUUAAGCACCUGCUGCUCCUUACUGUUAAAAUCAGGUAUAAAAUGGAUAGGGGUCAAAAUAUCAAAAGCGAAAAAAGGUAAUGUCAUUCCUUUUAGAAAAGGAAAAGAAGGAAAUCAUGUCAAAACCAGCAGUACUGCAUGCACCAGGAGGGAGCAGGGCAGGUGCUAAAUGGAGGUGAAUUAAGGCAAAAGGGAUACAGAUGGGCUCAAUAGAGAGGAAAUGAGGAAGGUAAGAAAAGGGAGGGGGUGGCUGUGUGGGGAGGGACAGUGGCAGAAGGACACCUGUAGAAGGAGCAGCAUGAGGAGAGGACGUGGUUAGCGGCAGAGGACUGAUAAUCUGAGCAGACUUGAGAAUUACAGAUAUACACCCUGGUAUGUUUGGAGAGACCAGAUUUCCCUAGCAGUGUCUGGAUGAUGCCCUGCCUCUUGCCUCUCUCAGCAGUGGGUGUGUUGAUGACAAAGGGUAUGAGGAGGUAAAACCAUAAGGACUGCCUAGGAUCUAAUAAGUCAUGUAAUUCAUUUCUUCUUUGAGGAGAAAAACAUGCAGCUUGUUCUUGCUGUUCUAUGCACAAAUGUGAAGGGGAAAGUAAUUGGUCUUUGCUGCUCCUCUUGGUUCAAAUUACUGUCCUCUCUUCUCCCUCCAGAAUGGCCAUCUUUCACUUGAGUUUGGUGUUGGUCCAGAUUCAGUCUCCCAGAAUUCGUUUGUUAAAAUUGCAUUGUUGAAUGAGUCCUUGAUGUCAUGUUGUCCUUCUCAGAUGGAUGAGAAGCCUCUUUAUUACUGAUACUCCAACACAAUA
This is a long non-coding RNA of Oxyura jamaicensis (ruddy duck), 2613 nucleotides long. RefSeq lists it as uncharacterized. The transcript has 3 exons. The record is from RefSeq and is a predicted model, not a curated record. Lineage: Eukaryota; Metazoa; Chordata; Aves; Anseriformes; Anatidae.